Molecule: ribosomal RNA, 320 nt
Filed under: uncultured eukaryote
Lineage: Eukaryota
Description: partial 18S ribosomal RNA
Rfam family: Eukaryotic small subunit ribosomal RNA
Source: RNAcentral
CCCCUAGAUGUUCUGGGCCGCACGCGCGCUACACUGAACAGUUCAACAAGUCUUAACCUUGGCCGAUAGGUCUGGGUAAUCUUUGAACGCUGUUCGUGAUUGGGAUAGACCUUUGCAAUUAUGGGUCUUCAACGAGGAAUUCCUAGUAAACGCAAGUCAUCAGCUUGUAUUGAUUACGUCCCUGCCCUUUGUACACACCGCCCGUCGCACCUACCGAUUGAAUGGUCCGGUGAAAUCUCGGGACGGCGGCUUGGUCGCUUGCGUCCGACUGCUGAAACUUGAUUAAACCAUAUCAUUUAGAGGAAGGUGAANUCGUANCA